UCGUGAGGGAGCUUGUUCCACCAUUGGGGUGCCAGAGCAGCGAACAGUUUUGACUGGGCUGAGCGGGAACUGUGCUUCCUCAGAGGUAGGGAGGCGAGCAGGCCAGAGGGAUGAACUCCCUAGAAAGGCCAAAACCUAGGAAGAAACCUAGAGAGGAACCAGGCUAUGAGGAGUGGCCAGUCCUCUUCUGGCUGUGCCGGAUGGAGAUUAUAACAGCACAUGGCCAAGAUGUUCAAAUGUUCAUAAAUGACCAGCAUGGUCAAAUAAUAAUAAUCAUAGUAGUUGUUGAGGGUGCAACAAGUCAGCAACUCAAGAGUAAGUGUCAGUUGGCUUUUUCAUAGCCGAUCUUUGAGAGUAUCUCUACAGCUCCUGCUGUCUCUAGAGAGUUGAAAACAGCAGGUCUGGGACAGGUAGCACGUCCGGUGAACAGGUCAGGGUUCCAGCAGAUCUGGGACAGUAGGUCUGGGACAGGUAGCACGUCCGGUGAACAGGUCAGGGUUCCAUAGGCAGAACAGUUGAAACUGGAGCAGCAGCACAGCCAGGUGGACUGGGGACAGCAAGGAGUCAUUAUGCCAGGUAGUCCUGAGGCAUGGUCCUAGGGCUCAGGUCCUCCGAGAGAGAGAAAGAAAGAAAGAAAAAGAAAGAGAAAGAGAGAAUUAGAGAGAGCAUAUUUAAAUUCACACAGGACACCGGAUAAGUCAAGAGAAAUACUCCAGAUGUAACAGACUGACCCUAGCCCCCCGACACAUAAACUACUGCAGCAUAAAUACCGGAGGCUGAGACUGGAGGGGUCGGGAGACACUGUGGCCCCAUCCAAUGAAACCCCCGGACAGGGCCAAACAAGGGUUCAACUUGCCUGGCUACCCACACUCCUUGAUCUGGCCAAACGCUACACUAUGCCCACGGACGUUAGUUUCUUCUCCACAAUGAGUCUUAAUCUGAGUACUUCCCCAAGAAUUUCUAGAACGCAAACACAUUCUAACAGUUCUGAAUGGUCUCAGAAACCGAUGGUUUGGGUCAGAGUCAGAACACACAUGGAUAAAGCAAUGUUAUUGGCUUUGAUACUCUGAUUGAAAUUACUUCUGGACAUCAGAACAGCGAUUACCCACCUCGAACAGGACAAAGACUUUUUCUUUAACGAGUCCGACGUGAAGGAUAUGCUGCUUUCUUGGGAACGGGCCCAAAUCCCGUCAUUUAUGUGAAGAAAAGAUGGAGAAAAAGGGGGCGGAGGUCAGGCUUCCUUCUGAGAAUUCAUAGACAAGUAAGUAAACCCCCACUGCCAUCUGUUCUAUUGGCCAACGUGCAAUCAUUGGAAAACAGAAUGAAUUAUCUAACCUGUAAUAUCUUAUGUUUCACCGAGUCAUGGCUGAAUGAUUACACAGAUAAUAUAGAGCUGGUGGGAUUUUCCAUCCAUCGGCAGGACAGAGAAGCUACGUCUGG
Molecule: long non-coding RNA, 1440 nt
Filed under: Salmo salar (Atlantic salmon)
Lineage: Eukaryota; Metazoa; Chordata; Actinopteri; Salmoniformes; Salmonidae
Description: lncRNA (ENSSSAG00000086435.1)
Source: RNAcentral